Molecule: long non-coding RNA, 6766 nt
Filed under: Glycine max (soybean)
Lineage: Eukaryota; Viridiplantae; Streptophyta; Magnoliopsida; Fabales; Fabaceae
Description: long non-coding RNA (GMAX_LNC000252)
Source: RNAcentral
CGGUGUAAUCACACUGGAUGGUCACGCUGAUGAUUGGAAGGACAUUGAUGGGUCCUACUUUCCCCUCCUUCCCGCCCUUGACCCAGAUGCUGAAAAUGAAUUCAAAGGGGGAAAGAUGAGCGUUAAAGUAUACACCACACAUUCUGUUCCGUUAUCUCUGGCCAGUUUUAUUAUUUAUUUUCUCAUUUGAUGAUCAUGAAUUUAUUGCAGAGUGUCCAUGAUGGCCGCGAUAUCUUCUUUCUGCUGCAAGUAGAUGGUGACUAUGCCUACUCUAAAGGGUAAAUAUGUCGUGCCAAGCAGAUAAAAUUUCAUCUACUCUCCCUUGCUACGAUUUAUUAUUGUGCUUAUGUUAUUGACUUGUUUCUAUUGAUGGUGUUUUAUAUGUUACAGAGUGUCCAACAUGUUUGGAAAGAAGAUAAGAUAGAUUAGAAAUAUGAAUUUAAUUUAAAUAUACUCACAUUGUAAAACUAUUUUGCAUUUUAUGUCUGAUCAUUUUAUCAUAUCAUACUAAUUAUAAACAUUAUGUGUCAAUAAGGUGAAUUCCCAUUUAAUGUGUGUAAGAAAAGUCUUACACCAAUACCACAUAUUAAUUAAAUUCUUUAUAAAUAUUAUCGUUUUUGGUGUGUUAAUCUAUGAUGAACUUUUGUCUGGUUGUUGCAUUGGUUUUGCAACGCAGUGAAAGCAAUAAAUGUCCAUCUGUUGCUCUCAUGUUUCAAAUUGGAGAUAGUGCCUCUUAUCAUGAUGUAAGUUUUGCAGUCUUUUCUUGCUUUCAAUUACAAUCCCAACCUUGCUAGAAGAUUUUGUAAAACUGUAUUUGAUAAAUAUUAUGUUAACUGUUAUAAGAUGGGUGGCUGUAAAGAACAUUCGACCUCAUGCACUGACAAGACCUGCAAAGGUCAUGAAGUUGACAUUAUGCACUUUUCGAUAGGAAGUGCUAUUCCAGGACGACUUUACGGUGGCAAUCCCCUAGACAAUAGAGAUGGGAAUGGUGGCGAUAGGUUAUGAGCUGAAAAAUUCCUUGACUUUCAAUUAUGAUAGUCGUGGGCUAUCUUAUUUGUUGGUUGUGUUCAUUCAGCUUCCUAUAUUUGUUAUUGGUACAGGUUUGGUCACUUGGUUGAUCUAUAUGCUUGGAAUCCACAUUGUAGAUACUUGGAUGGAAUUGGUCCUCCAGGUUCUGGUAUGUACAAAUGCAACACCAUUGAUAAGAAUUAUAUGCUUCUAUGACUGAAAAAAAAAAGCAGAACAAAUGGAUUAAAUUAUUAAAACACCAAGUGGAAGUAUCACAAAUGGUUCCUAAAAUUUUAAAAACUACUGUUUUGUAGUUGCACUAAAUAGGACCAUUGCUUGCAUGACUUCACUCUUGUUCACUAAGCACAUCUUCCUUGAUACUUAUACCUUUUAUUCAGAUGUUCAUGCAAUUCUUUUAGGUGUUUUGUACAUAAAGAGAAUUGCUUAUGUGGAACAUUUGUAUUCUUCUAUAUACAUUUUUUAUUGUCAUAUUGCUUGUCUUUUCCUAUUGAACAUUAUUUAGUUUGCUUACUUAUUAAUAUCCUUCAUAGUUUACUCACUUUGGCCAUAUAAAUAAUAAUAAUAUCUUGUUUUGAACCGUACACAAGGUGGUCCGUUAUUUUAUUCCUUUAGCUUAGCCAUGAAAAAUCAAGGUUCACGUUUGAUAUUAAUCUCUUCUGACUUUGCUCCUUAAUUUUUUUAUCAGUUUUUGUAAAAUAAUUUAUCUUUGUCCUACAAAUCCCAAUUUAAAAUUGAUGUAACUUUACAUAUGAAAGUGGAUCCCAAAAUGAUUAAGUAGUGAUUGGAUUUUGGCAUGUGUAUGAUGCGUUUUAAAUUACUUUAAGAUGGCUUCAUUCACAUUGGAAGAAAGGGAUGUGUCAAAAUUAAUUAAGACAUCUGUUAUUAGUAUACUACAGGACAAGUAGAGAGAUAAGUGCUUUUUAUGCUAACAUUGUUGGAGUACAAGUGUGAGGUGAAGUCCCACAUUGGGUAGAAGUAGAAAAGUUGAGUACCAUAUAAAUGAGAAGAAGACCCAUAAACCUGAGUUCCCUUAUGUGAUGACUCGUGGUCCACCGGUGUGAAUCUCCCUGGUGUUUACUCCCCUCAAAUCUCCCCAACAACUGGUAUCAGAGCCGAUAAGCAUCAUUUCCAAUUCGGCUACAAACCAAAACUAAAGAUAUUAUUUAUAAUGAGAUUCUUCUUAACAACUUUUUUAAUGUCCUUCUUAAUUUCCCUCUCCCCUUUUACAUAGAAAUAAAAACCAUGAAAUCUACUCGUGUGUUUCUCGUCGCCUUUGUACGUGUCCAGACUACUUUACCUUGAUUUUCUGCUUUCCCCCCCUUAAAUUAGUGCAAUAUCAAUAUUAUAUGAUAAAACUUGCUCUUGAGCUUUGAUAGGUACUAUGCAACCACAAAUAACCUCAAAUACUUUUCUCCAUUUUUGUUAUCCUGUUUAUAUCUUCUGUGUGACAUCUUUAUUAAUUUCCUCGUCAUUUUGUAGUAUUGAUCCCAAAUAUUUAAACUAAGAAACUGGUGGCAUGACAUCUCCCAAUUUUACUUCAAGUCAUAUUCCUCUUGCCUCUUACAAAAAUUGCAAUAAUAUACUUUGUUUUACUCCUACUUAAGCGAGAAUCCUUUGUUUUUAAAGUUUUCUUCAAAGCUCAAGUUUAAAGUUAACAACUUUCCUUAAUUCAAAACUAUAUCAUCCACAAAAAACAUGCAAUCAGGGAUAAUCUUUUGUAUGUCCCUAGUAAGCACACCCAAGACUAAAUUAAAGAAAUAAGGACUUAAGGUUGAGCCUUGGUGUACGCCUACCCCUGUCGAGAAGUUCUUAGUCUCGUCUCCUGGAGUUAUCACACUAGUAGUUUCCCUAUCAUGCCUGACUUAUAUAGUUCAGAUGUAAGUCACAGAAACACCUUUCUUUUCCAAAGUCUUUCUAUUUGUGACCUUGAACUCCCUUCUUAAGUGAUUUAAUGUUCCUCCUCCUUCUUGAAACAAGUGUUCAUAAUCCUAAAAUCGUAAGUAAUAGAGAAAUCAAGAAUAAACUGUCAUUCCUUAUUUACUUCUCUAAAACUAGAACCACCAUGGGCUUCUAUAAAUUGCCUUGUCUCACUACGAAUAUGUUCUUUUAGAUCCCUUCCUGAGAAAAUCUUUUCUUCUUGGGGAGUUCCUUGAACCAAUCCCACCAAAUUUUCCCAAUACUUUUCUUUAUAAGUGCUUGUAAUCCUACUUGUGAUGCUUAAGUACUGAUGAUGUUGGUGGUCUCCUAUGCAACCAGUAAUUUUAAGGCUAACAUUGUGUCCAAUUCAUCUUGCAUCCCCUAGACUAUUUCUAAUACUUGUCUGCAAUAAUACCACACCAUUCUUUUCUCUAAUUUAAAUCCUAUAGUACCUAACUCCUUGGUCUCUUGUAGGCACAUAAUGUUACUCCUCCUUUGAAUUAUGGAUCUGCCACCUUCAUGAACUUACCUGUCAAAGUCCCAGUAUUCUAAGUAGCAAAAAGCUUUGAACUUCUUUAUCCACAUCCAUUCAAGAAAUUGUGAGGACUCUUGACCAUUUAACACUAUAUCCGAGCACUUUAUGUCCUGACUCUAAAUCAUUUGACUUUGUAUUCAAGCCAUACAAUGCCUUACUUAAUCGAGUAACUUUUGAAUUUAAUCUCUUAUGAGAAUCAUGAAUUAAGUUUAUGUUGGUAAAUUCUGUACAAGGAAUUGUUAAGACACUUUGUUGGUCAAUUAAAGCUCGUUUUGUGGUCAAAUGUGAUAUGAUAAGAUAAAAUAUAAGAGCAGUAUAAGAACUUUAAAAGAUAAAAGUAGGAUAAGCUUUAAUACUAUUCAAUGUUACACCAUCAUAUAGACUAGAUAACGAUAGGUGGUGGUUGUGUCGGCAACGAUAACCGUGAUAAUAGCGGUGACAAUAAUAAUAACGAUGGUGGUGGCGAUGAUGGUAUUGAUGGUGGUGAUAAUGGUGGCAAUGGCGAUAGCGGCGACAAUGAAGGCAACAACAAUGACGGUGGUGGUGGCGGCGACGAUGGUGGCGACAAUGGUAGGAGUGACAACGCCAGUGAUGGUGGUGUGAUGGUUGUCAUGGUGGAGAAGCGAUGAUGGUGGUGAAGAUGGUGAUGAUGGUGGUGGCGAUGAUGACAGUGAUAGUGAUGGGGUUGGUGAGGGCAACUAUCCUAUUCUGUUGCUCUCUAACCAAUUCACCCCCUCAGGAUAAGAAAUACACUGCAUCAUUAAGAUAGAGUAGGAAAUAGGGUAAGGAAAUCAUAUCCUACUAGUGCACCAAACAAUUUAUUACAACAGCCUAAGAUAGUUAUCCUAUCCUAUUAUACCAUAUUCUAACUACCAAACAACAAAAUUUCCAUUGCUUCAUAAGUUUUGAAUAGAAUGACAAUGCAUCUCUUUUUUAAAGAGUUAGAAAUCUGUAAGGAAAGACAUUUUCCCCAAGGCAAUUAAUUUUUUCUUUUAUGUAUUAUGACUUGCCGUGUUGUGGGUUAUAUAUAAUAUUGUUUUCAACCCCUUCAUUUUGUUGAUACUUGAUCACUUCUAAGUUAUAUUAUAGACUGACCCUUUUUCUGUUGUCAGCUAAUGAUUCAAGUGCGCAGAAUGACUGGAAAGGUGCUUGGUGGCAUAGCAGCUUCACAGUUCACUCAGGUGUCUGAUUCAUUUAUUUAUAGAUCAAAAAAUAAUAUGUCAUAUCAAUUAACUGUAGUUGGAGGCUGAAUCCAGACUGAAAUUUUGGUUGGUAGUGACAGGAAUCUCAAAACAAUAUUUUCUGAGCAGUAGUUAAAAUGUGUUUCCUUAUAUAUCUAUAUACUACUUAUGAAGUGAAUGGUUCGUAUAUGAGAUCAAAGCAUGCCUUGUACUAAGCUUCAUUUAUAAAUUUUGUUUUAAGAUAUGUCAACAUGACUUCAAAAUUUUUCAUAUAUGUUAGUGCCAGUUGCUUUCAAUUAUAUAUAAAUGGUGCCAUCUUGGAGGGUUAAUCCCCCACUAAGUGCCAAAAGUUCAGUGAUCCAUUAAAGGACAACCCGCUUUGUUUCUUAUGGCUUCUUGCCUUACAAUUUUUUUUUAAGAGUAAUUCAUUUUUCAUCCUCCAUAGUUUCAAGCCUUGUCACUUUAGUCUCUCAAUUAUUCAAGGUAUCAUCAAAUCGAUCCUUCUUUGAUGAUAUUUUGCUUGAUCAAGAGACUAAAUUGAUGAUAUUUUGUAUUGUUUAGGGACUAAUUGAUGUUUGAAAUAUUUGGAGUGUCAAAGUGAUGACUCUUAGCACUGUUGAGGGAUUAAUUUGAUGAUAAAAAUCUUGAGGAUCAAAUUGACGACACUUAUUUGCUUGGAGGACAAAAGUAGGGAUUUACUCUAUUUUUUUAUGUUAAAGCAUAUUUUGGAUUCUAUAUUUCUAGUGCAUGAGUGUUGUCAAAUACUGAGUCAUUGACUCAAUUAGGUGCGGAGUCACCGUUUCAAAAAGUAAUUGAUUUACUGGUUGAACCAUAUGUAUGUGUAAUUAAUCUGAUAAUAGGAACAUUAUAACUAACAUGGAGUUCUGGUGAAAUGGUUUAUGUUAAUUGAGCUGUUAAUUAUUAGGUUGUAGGUUAAAAUUAUUAGCUCAUAGAUUCAAAUUUUGUCUGGAACUUUACACUAAAUGUUUUACAAAACCAGUAAAAAUCAUUAACUUCAUACUAGUUCAUACUGGUUGCAACUUGCAACCUUGUGUAUGCAAUAUGAACAUCUGCCUCAAAUACAGUACCUUAAAUUUGAUCUCUCUGCUUUGUUUUGCACUGUCAUUUAGUUAGUUUGCAUUUUUAUUUUCUCAUAUUGGUACUCACAUGCUUCUCUGUAACAGGAUUCGUAGAGGAUGAGAGUCCAUAUGCAGAUAAUGGAAAAAAGGGCACAUACUUUUUUGAAUUCUCGAGGUCUUUGAGGACUAUGGAUCAUCUUCAACAGGUUGGAACUUAGAAAGUAAUUUGAUAUUCAUAAGUUUUAUAGGCUAAGAGUUUGCAUUGAUUUUUUCAGAUUUUUUUCCCAAUUAGCUGAAUUUUUUGUUCACAAGUUCUUUUUCGAUUAAUUUUUGGGAUCAUUUGUAAAUCUAAUGGAUUGUGGAUGAAAAAACAUAUGAAAUUAUUUAUCAAUUUUAAUCAAUGUUGGCGUAGAGUACCCCAAGUCAUGUGAUAAACAUUCCUUUUUAACUAGGUCUCUGUGUUGUUUGUUGUUGAAACAAGUUUGACUUUUGAACUUGUACUGGAUUGUUUGUAUUACCUUGUUUCCCAAUGCAAACUUGCCUUCUGAAUGUAUAUUUCUUAACCAUGGCCAAAAGCUUAAAACAAACAAGAUUGAGAUCACUAACUCUUUUUUCUUGUAUUUUGUUUGGGGUGGGGGCAUGGAUGAAAAAGAUCUUUUCAAAUAUAAUAAAUGUGAUUGUAGGGAUCUUCUGAAUCACGUGGUUUUUGUUUUAACAUGUGGUUAUUGUGUUUAUCUUUGAGUUUCUUCCUAUCCAGGGACUCAUCUUGUAGCUUGAAACUAAAUAUAUUUUUGUUUUAGUAGCAUUGUACCAAAUAGUAAAUAUAUUCCUGAAUAUCAUUUAUAAGAUAACAAGCAAGUAAAAUGAUGUAAAAUAAUACCUUGCAGGACGUGCAAUUUAACAUUGGUGGAUCCAGUAAGAUGUCUGUUGCAUUCUGGUAUCCAGUAGAUGGUCAACCUUGGCAUGGUUCUGGGCACUACUCUGUUUACUGUGAUUGGGUUCCCAUUGACAUAUCUGUUGGUAAA